AUACAUCCUGUAUAAAUUAUCCCUCUAUAUUUAUAUUUUUUAAGACUAAGAAAGAUGUAAGACUAAUGUUCUGUGCUGUAUGUUUUUAAUGAAAAACAAACAAAAAAAAGUUUGACUGUAGUUGUCCAGGCAAAAACUUUAACUCAACUGACCUAUUCCACUGGGAAAUUGUACUAGGAAGGUGUAACCUGCAGUUUUACUUAAUAAGCACAAUACAAAGGCAAGCAGGAGGUUUGAUGAUCAACACGGAAUUGUCAUAGAAUAAGGCAGUAAGCUCCCAAGAGUGUCUGACCCUGCAUCUGAAGUCCUGUUAUGAACUUGGCUCCGAGACUGGGUGGGCUGGCUGACUCGGCCUCCUCCUUCCACUUCCCGGGCUAUGCCUUCCCUGCUCCUUGCACCGCGGGGCUCUGUGUGCACAGGGUUUCCACCGCAGGACCCCCUGCUGCAGCUUGACCACACAGCAGGAGAUGCUCAGGCCCCUCUGGGUCCUGCUGAGCAUGGGCACCUGUCACCCUUGACCCCAGUUAUGUGCAGGGAUUCAUGUAAGGGCAAAUAUGGCACAAAAUUAACAUCAUGCAUCAAGCUCUUGACUGGCAGAUGUGGCUCAUGAUCAAAUGAGGAUGUGGGGAAGAGAGCAGAGGCAAAUUCUUAGCCAGUGGCUUGAUCACAGGCUGCUUGUAACAGCUGCAGGUGAAACAGCCCCACACCUACCCUUUGUCUUCAAUAGAGGGAAAAACGUGUCUCAGAGAUGCGGGAAGGGCAGAUGUACACAAGUGUGCAGAGUUCAGCCCUGGACCCGCUCACUGGCCGGUCCUCCUGGGUCUGGGUGGGCUCAGGAGGAGGUUCCACCCCUGGAGUGAGGGACGGUGAACGGCCUUGCUGCCCCACAAAGCUUCCCAGAGGCUUAGAGGACAGGGUGAGUGCCCCAGGCCACAGCUUUUUGUCCUGAGUCUCUUCCUUCCAGAACAAAUGCUGUCAUUUUUUGAUAGAUCCUUUGGUGUUGGGAAGUUGGCAAUGUUUAUGAUUUUUAAAAAAUAUUGGGGCUGAGAUGGCCCUGUUGUCUUUUCAAAAUAGUUGGAUGAUUCCGUCAUUGGUUGGUACCUCCUCUAGUGUCACCCUGGUCUCGGUGAGGUCCUGUUAGCACGUCAUCCCUGGCCAGUUGAACUGAAUGAUUCUCUGUUCAUCACCGAGAGCUGGGUCAUGUAAAACUAGAUGCUUGGAGAGGAAUUAAGAGGACACUUAAGUAUAUCUGGUGAGUCAUGUUUUGUGAAGUUCUAAUGCUGAAUAUGUGAACUCCACUUCUGCUUUGGGGACGUGUGGAUGAGGAUGGAUUGGGUAAGUCCCAAACUUCAUACAAGCAGCCUUCUUUGGAGGUUUUGUCCUUGAAGGGUCUAAGGAAUCCAAGCUGAUGGCUGAGUUAGUCUUCUAGAAUGUUCUGUGGUGAACUGGAACUCUGGAGAGCCUGGCACUAAUGUAGACCACCUUGCCCUUCCUACGCUGUUGAUUUCAGGCACAGCCUGGACACCCCGCUCCAUGUCAUCCAGUGGCAGUGGCACUGACAAAGUGGCUGGUAGCAGCUGCUCAGCCUCCUGCCUUGUGACCACGUAGGCUUUGGGGUAGCUCUUGUCUGUCCCCUGGGAAGCUGUCCCCAGUACACACGUAUUCUGUUCUGAUCCUCCUGUGUGAGCAUCUACUAUACAUAAAAAGGUUGUGAAAUUAUCUUCUUUGAACAUUCUUUCAUCUCUUACUUGUGAAAGGCCAGAAUCUUUAUUUUCAGCGGCACUAGCCCAAUAGAAAACCAAAGCCAAGAACCAUUUUGUUUUAUUUUCCUCUUGGGGGAGUAAGAAGUCCAUGGUUCUAGUAGCCCUCUUAGCUGAAGUCAGUGUUGGUUUAGUGGAUGAUAGACAGCAUAUAUUUUUUUCCUGCAGGGAAAUCAAUUUAUAAAAUCCAGAGUAUUGGGAUCAAAUCUUUUUACAUUUCGCUAUGAAUUUAAAAUCCGUGAUUUGGAUUUCAGAUGACAAGAUUGGUUACACGGAAAUAAUGCCCAGUCAAACCCCCAUUCCCUUUUAGCAACGACAUCUCAAAGCAGAUCUGAGAUGAGGCGAACGACAGGGAUCUUCUGAUCUCCGUCCCCUUCAUCUGUAAGCUCCGCAGUGUACCCACGGGUCGUCCAUCUCUUCUGCCAUAUUCCUUCCAAGCAAUGUGAUGGGGCGUUCCCAGGAGCCUCACUCCCACGUGGGCAACGGAGGCUUGCUCCAGGCCAUGCAGCCAGCUGCCAGCAGAGCUAUGCUGCUCAUCCGGUGUUUCCAGAGCUCUGCCGUGUGCCGGCCUGUGCUUGGAGCUGAGGAUUUGGAGGCACACCUAAUGGAGCCUCCUCCCUCCCCAGCCUGGGCUCUGCUUCCCCAUGAAUCUCAUUUCUGCCGGGGUGGGGCAGGGUGGCAGAUCAGCACUCCUGGUGCAUUACGGAGCUUUGACUCCCUGGGCACAGUAGCCACAGUCUGUGCCAGGCCACCCCGGGCCUGUGGGAGUAUGCCGGAGCCCUCUCUCCUUCUCAUGAGCACCUCCCGCCACCCCACCCAGAACUCUGCUUCUUCUAGGAGUGCCAGAUGGGGCCUAGCAGUCUUAAAAUGCCCUUCUCUGCUCUGGCACAGUGACCCUGGAGACCCAUGCCCACCCCCUCCAACCUCUGCCCGCCUAGGUGAAUAACCUGUGCUUCAGAUGACAUCUCUGUCCCACUGAAGCUGGCUGGGGCUCCCAUGGGGUUGCUCACUGUGGUCUAAGUCAGCUUUGAUUCAGGCUGUCCCUGAAGAGGCUCCCUGUAGCAUCAGGUGAGCCGGCUGACAAAUGACAGGGUCUCAUGACUCAAUCUUAAAUCCCAAGCUUAAGUCACCAUGGGUGGGGCUUCUGACAUUUGCAGGACCACAGGUCUGGGUUCCUGCUCAACCUGCAUGAGUGACUGUUCUGUUUAAGGCCAUCUUGGAUGUUGGGGUAAACGGACCAAGGUCCCAUCGGUCCAUGUAUGAUGGUGUCCUUGAGGCUUGCCUGGUGGCAGAGGGAGUCACAGAUAAUUUUUAAUGAAGACAAAAACUGAUAGGCCCUGAGUGGAGGUAAAGGCCCAGCUUGGAGGAAGGGACAGGACCUUUGAGGAGUGAACCCAAGAUGACCUAUCAGCUUCGGGUCAUUGUUGACACAUGUCUGGCCUCCUUACCUCUCGAGGGUUCUGAAGAUGCCCAGCUGCUGCAAUGAAGCUUUUCUUCCUUGGAUGACCCCAUUAUCUAAGUGAGGUUCAGGGCAGUUCCAGUUCUCAUUUCCUCUGCGGUGGCUGCUACAUGAACGCCAGUUGGGCUGAGUAGAAGCCUACACCACAGACAUCUCGGGGGUAGUGCCAGCAGCAGGUGGACACCCCUGUCUGUCCUCAGCCCCGGCAUGCCCGGCAUGACACGGCCUUGGCAUAUCAGUAGCUGGAUUCCUCUGAGCCAUGGCUAGCUCCACACCACCAAGUGGCUGCACAGAGUCCCCAUGUGAGAGUGUUGGGAGUGAUGAAUGUGUAAUGUGUCAACAGAUACUUGCUGAGAUUCUUCAUUCACAAAAGCGCACAUCAGUUCUCUCACUGGCCCAAGGUUGCAUGCCAUCUGUAAAUCCCUUUCUGUGGAUGGUGACAGCCAGAUUGGAAGUGGGUAGGAGGAUCUGGAAAGACUGCAAAAUAGAUCACUGCACCCAGACAAGGCUUCGCGGUGGGUUUCAGAAUAGCACUCUGGUUCUCGUGGAACUUCUGAAGUGUUUUCUAAGAAAGGCAAAGAAGGAGAAUCCCAUUCCUGGAACACUGUGAAAACCUAAACCUGGUGGCUUCAUACAGGAUAACAAGGGAGCUUUACAGGAUGGUCCAGUUGGAGGGGACCCAUGUUUUUGCAGAUGAGGAAACUGGAGCUAGGGGUCCUUCUGGAAAAUGGCCGUAGUCAGUGGAUGAAUCUAGGAAAGAACGCAGGGCGCAUGCUAAGGUCCUCUAGGGCUUGCACAUGAGGCUCAGCCCCAUGAAAAUGGCAAGAAGUGCUUCUGUCCUCCGGCCUUCCCUCCAUGUGCCAUGUCAGAAGGCACAAAGCCCGAGUCCUUCAGGUGGAAGGGGCGGUGCUCCGAUUUCCUCUUAGUUGGGGUUCUUUGGGAAGCAGAACCUGAAGAGGCUUCGAGCGUAUCUAAUUUAUUUGGGAAAUGAUCUCAGCAGUAGUGGGGAAGGAAGAUAGUAAGGUGGCAUUGUCAAGUUUCCAUGAUUGUGGACACUGGGACAUCACCACUGGGAGGCCUGGGAGACACCUCAGAAGCAGCCCAGUGCGGGGGACAGGGGUGGAAAGUGAGCCUUUAUUCACCAAGCCCAUCACUGGUGGAAGGCUGUUUUUCGGGACAGUUUCUGAUCAUCCCUGAGUACACCUGAGCACACUUGGCCAUCUAGGAAGUCCUUGGGCAGAGACAGAUGUUCUUAGUAAACAAACUUGGCAUGAAAGGCAGGCACUGGAACCACCUGACUUGCUGGUUCACACACGAAUUACAGCAUUCUGCAGCCUGCGUCCGUCCCUGACCCAGUGGAUCGGGACUGAGGCCUGAGCCUUUGCAUUUCCAACACACAAGGUGAUAUUGGUGCAGCUGAUUGUCUUUGAGAGUUUUUGUCAUUUAUUGGUGGCUUCCCCCCACCCUCUGUUUUAUGAUGAAGUCUUCAUACCCUUUUCGUGUCGUAGUUCCCAGGGUCCAUGCUGUGAAUUCAAAAACAGAGGAUUAAUAAGCACUUAGAAACUCCACGCAACCAUUGCUGGUAGAUAAAAACACCAUCUGCCAGCCACGAUUUAUUUAUAAUGGGGUUUACACAUAUUUAUAAAGUUUGCAAGCAACAAAUGCACAGUUUUAAAACUGGCAUCUUUUAUAGCAGUCAAAAAAAUUGCAACUUUAUACCAGGACCUGUGAAUGUGAAUUGCACAUGUAUAUUCACAUGUGUAGAUACUUGUGUUGGUUUAAACAGAUAUGCCUUUGUGUGUGCCUGUGUGUGUGUGUGUGUGUGCACCCACGUGCAGGUGGGUUCUCUGCUGAGCACCAUCAGAUUUCUCCCUGGGGUUUGUAACUCAUAGACAACUUUGGUGGCAACCUAGCACACAAGGAGCAGGAACAAAACACCAGGACAGUGGGGUGGGAGGAUGCCACUAUGGACCAUGACAGAGGGACAAGAGGGAAGAGAAGACAGCGAGGGAAGCCUGAGGAGGGAGAUGGCAGAAGUAGGACGAAAGGAAAGAGGAGAGGGAAGGCAAAGCAAGUGCAGACUCACAGGGCUCCCUGCAGUGCCACCGGAGGCUGUCCCCAUGGCGGGCUGCUUUGGAAUGCAGGCUGCAGCUGCAUUUGAUGGGCACAACCCCUUUUGUAAGCAGUCUUCUCACCCUCCUUGGUGCAUGAAUUCCUAGGUGGCAGGCCCUGCACUGGGCUUGUGGAAUAGAGAAGGAAAUAUACAGAGUUUCUGCCUGAGUUUCUAAUCCAGUGGGAAGUCAGCAUGGGGUACCCAUGUGCACACACGUGCACACAUGCACACACGCACACACACACACACGAGGGUGUUGGAGUAUGACCAGCCUUGCAAUACUGGUGCAUCCAAGUUCAACAGGACCUGGUCAGUCUGGGGCUGCUGGGAAGGCUUGGCCCACUGGGCAUUGACAUGGAAUGUCAGAAGACACUUGCAUCAGUGUUGGAAGGCAGGAGAGAAGAGAGGCUCAGGACUCCCCUGGUGCAGGUGAGACACUGGCAUCAGAGGAUGGGAGGGGAGGGGAGGGGCUCCUAGUCUCCCUUCUUUCUUCCUCACAGUGAUCUCAGAUGCCCUGAAUAAGUGAAUCCCGGAUGUAAAAUGCAUAGGUGUUUCCCCAGGGCCUGGAGAAAGAUUUUCACAGAAAAAAACCACAGGAAAUGAAACAAUCCUGUGUUCAAGUAUCUAUUUGAUUGUCUCACCUUGGACUGUUGUAGAUAGAAAAAUACACACUGGGGAGUGAGACCAGUCGCUCUGAGCUUUUGAGGUCAUGAAUUCACACACAAGUAGACAUUUUUACUGCAACCAAAAUCUCUUAACCACUGAAAUCAAGCAGCAAUUAACCAAGCAGAAAUGAAUGGACAAAUCCAUCUCUGAACAAUGAGUUACAUUUUUUUUUGUAACAACUAUGUGUGAGUUGCAAGUGGAAUGUUCUGUUCAUUUGACUUUUGACUGUAACUUGUUCCAGAAUAUUGUGAAAUUCAGUAUGUGAAUGUUUCUUUGUAUUCAGAAUUAAAACAUUUGGUGUUUAAAUCCCAGGGUUAGGAGACGAUGCCAUGUAAAUUUUAAUGUAUAAUUAUAAGAUACUUAUUACUUUUUAAAAAGCAUUUGGCUGGCAAAUUAUACAUAUUGAUAAGUGAGUGAUUAUUUGAAAAAUUUGUUUCCAUUAACUUUUGUGAAGCAAAAAGAUAUUACUGUCUGGUUGUGUGGCCAAUUUGCCCUUCCGGCUCUGAGUUUGGAAAGGAAUUGGCUUCUCCAACAUCCCUGAGGAGCAGAAAUACAAAACCAAAAGUUUUCUAAUCUUUCUUCUCUGAAAAAAACCAUAAAGCCUAAGUUAAUUGGCUGUUUUGGAGAUCUGACAAUUAACAGGCAACGAUAAUUGUCUUAGGUUCCCUCCUCACCUUCAAGGAAUCCACUUAACUUCUUCAGGAAACCAUGCGGUUUCCAGUUAGACUACAUCACCACGCAGCGUCUGUCGCUUGCCUGUGCUUCUGGGCUCUCCAGGCGUAGGAUAUGGCGCAGCAGCCUGGGUAUCAUCACUAUGACCCCAGAGUGCAAGGUGACACACCUAAUUCAGGCGGCUCUGCACUUCUCGUUAUAAUUGGUUAUCAGAAAACGUGCCUUUCUUAUUGGGAUAGUGGUAUGUGCAUUUCUGAUUAUGCAGCAACCCCUUUGAAUAUUUGACUUAGAUACUAAAAACAUUUGGGCAUCGAGGUUUUGCACUUGUAGAUACAAUUUAAAAGCAUGGAACUGCCAAUGUAAUUAGACGUUUUCUAUAAAAUGCACCUUGUUAUAUUUCUGUGAAAGGCUUGUAACCAGCGCAGAGUAACUAUGGCUGAAGGGUUGAGUGAAACAACCAUUUUUUAAAAUAGUUCAUUGUUUCAAUGACUAUCAAUGUAAGUCCGCUGGCAAUAAAGGCUAUUGAGAAAAGUCUCUUUCAUUUGGAUGAUGGAUCUUGUACUGCCUCAUAAAAGAGAGGAGGGCAACUUGGAAC
This 7265-nucleotide long non-coding RNA is filed under the name Marmota monax (woodchuck). The record is from RNAcentral. Lineage: Eukaryota; Metazoa; Chordata; Mammalia; Rodentia; Sciuridae.